CCAGACUCCUACGGGAGGCAGCAGUGGGGAAUAUUGCACAAUGGGCGCAAGCCUGAUGCAGCCAUGCCGCGUGUAUGAAGAAGGCCUUCGGGUUGUAAAGUACUUUCAGCAGUGAGGAAGGAGGUAUCGUUAAUAGCGGUAUCUUUUGACGUUAGCUGCAGAAGAAGCACCGGCUAACUCCGUGCCAGCAGCCGCGGUAAUACGGAGGGUGCGAGCGUUAAUCGGAAUUACUGGGCGUAAAGCGCAUGCAGGUGGUUUGUUAAGUCAGCUGUGAAAGCCCGGGGCUCAACCUCGGAAUUGCAUUUGAAACUGGCAGGCUAGAGUACUGUAGAGGGGGGUAGAAUUUCAGGUGUAGCGGUGAAAUGCGUAGAGAUCUGAAGGAAUACCGGUGGCGAAGGCGGCCCCCUGGACAGAUACUGACACUCAGAUGCGAAAGCGUGGGGAGCAAACAGGAUUAGAUACCCUGGUAGUCCACGCCGUAAACGAUGUCUACUUGGAGGUUGUGGCCUUGAGCCGUGGCUUUCGGAGCUAACGCGUUAAGUAGACCGCCUGGGGAGUACGGUCGCAAGAUUAAAACUCAAAUGAAUUGACGGGGGCCCGCACAAGCGGUGGAGCAUGUGGUUUAAUUCGAUGCAACGCGAAGAACCUUACCUACUCUUGACAUCCAGAGAACUUAGCAGAGAUGCUUUGGUGCCUUCGGGAACUCUGAGACAGGUGCU
This 719-nucleotide ribosomal RNA is filed under the name Vibrio fluvialis. RNAcentral's name for it is "bacterial SSU rRNA". It matches the Rfam family "Bacterial small subunit ribosomal RNA", at positions 331 to 1042 of the family's 1533-position model. The record is from RNAcentral. Lineage: Bacteria; Pseudomonadati; Pseudomonadota; Gammaproteobacteria; Vibrionales; Vibrionaceae.